Molecule: ribosomal RNA, 653 nt
Filed under: Escherichia coli
Lineage: Bacteria; Pseudomonadati; Pseudomonadota; Gammaproteobacteria; Enterobacterales; Enterobacteriaceae
Description: partial 23S ribosomal RNA
Rfam family: Bacterial large subunit ribosomal RNA
Source: RNAcentral
GAGUGAAAAAGAACCUGAAACCGUGUACGUACAAGCAGUGGGAGCCUCUUUAUGGGGUGACUGCGUACCUUUUGUAUAAUGGGUCAGCGACUUAUAUUCUGUAGCAAGGUUAACCGAAUAGGGGAGCCGAAGGGAAACCGAGUCUUAACUGGGCGUUAAGUUGCAGGGUAUAGACCCGAAACCCGGUGAUCUAGCCAUGGGCAGGUUGAAGGUUGGGUAACACUAACUGGAGGACCGAACCGACUAAUGUUGAAAAAUUAGCGGAUGACUUGUGGCUGGGGGUGAAAGGCCAAUCAAACCGGGAGAUAGCUGGUUCUCCCCGAAAGCUAUUUAGGUAGCGCCUCGUGAAUUCAUCUCCGGGGGUAGAGCACUGUUUCGGCAAGGGGGUCAUCCCGACUUACCAACCCGAUGCAAACUGCGAAUACCGGAGAAUGUUAUCACGGGAGACACACGGCGGGUGCUAACGUCCGUCGUGAAGAGGGAAACAACCCAGACCGCCAGCUAAGGUCCCAAAGUCAUGGUUAAGUGGGAAACGAUGUGGGAAGGCCCAGACAGCCAGGAUGUUGGCUUAGAAGCAGCCAUCAUUUAAAGAAAGCGUAAUAGCUCACUGGUCGAGUCGGCCUGCGCGGAAGAUGUAACGGGGCUAAACCAUG